AAAUAGAACUUUGCAGAGAGAGUUAACAGGGCGUGAACCGUUAAUUGGCAAACGAAUCGGAGCCACGAAGUCGUUUCGCAGUUGAGUCGGGAUCUAGUUCAGCGUGCCUCGAGAGGGGUGUGUGUAUUCUGGGUCCGGCCAGCUUUGUAAGCGUACACUGCAACUAGUUAGACGACUGGCCAUGGGCACAGCUUUUGGCUUGAGCAAUCGAGCCUUGAGCGAAGCAUUUGUUUGUUUGAGUUAGUAGUAGUGCGGCUUGAUUUCGGUCUUGUCGUGUUGCUUGGCUUGGACAAGUGAGCUAUGGCCAGAUACUGACUAGCAAAAUGAAAAUCGACUUCGGUCGUUAGAGACAAAGCCCCCGGCUAGAUGGGCGUCUACAUCUUCGACUGCUGGGUUUAAGCUCGGCGCUUUUCAAUUUGGACUUGCUUGCUACCAGUGGGGCAACUCCUGGUGCUUGUAUAGCUUCCAUCUAAUGGGGCGUUGACUUGAUCUAGUACGCUUGGGGAUGAAUCGAUAGGACGUUCAUUUAAGUUGAAGGGCAAGUGAAUUGGCAGUGAGUAGGUCGGCUUUCCGAACGACCCGUCUUGAAACACGGACCAAGGAGUCUAAUUAGGCAUCGAGUCGAUCGGUCUUGAAUAGGCCAGACAGGGGAGCUCGCUCUCCGAUGGAAGGCGCAGAGAAAUCAAAUCGUGUGAUCGGUUGGUCAACAACAGGCUGACCGCGCAACAUGUGCGUGCUCAAUCGCUAUGUCGCAAGACUAGUAGGGCGCAGCAAAGAGAUGCCCGAUUGGGACCCGAAAGAUGGUGAACUAUGCUUGGGCAAAUUGAAGCCAGAGGAAACUCUGGUGGAGGAUUGUAGCGAUUCUGACGUGCAAAUCGAUCGUCAGACCUGAGUAUAGGGGCGAAAGACUAAUCGAACCAUC
Molecule: ribosomal RNA, 922 nt
Filed under: Tetra sp. 28sd2-5r70
Lineage: Eukaryota; Metazoa; Arthropoda; Arachnida; Trombidiformes; Eriophyidae
Description: eukaryotic LSU rRNA
Rfam family: Eukaryotic large subunit ribosomal RNA
Source: RNAcentral